RNAcentral lists this ribosomal RNA (23 nucleotides) under Hyphoderma nudicephalum. Its description in RNAcentral is "partial 28S ribosomal RNA". The record is from RNAcentral. Lineage: Eukaryota; Fungi; Basidiomycota; Agaricomycetes; Polyporales; Hyphodermataceae.
GCGUUUGACCUCAAAUCAGGUAU